This 29-nucleotide non-coding RNA is filed under the name Bombyx mori (domestic silkworm). The record is from RNAcentral. Lineage: Eukaryota; Metazoa; Arthropoda; Insecta; Lepidoptera; Bombycidae.
UUCCAACCAAAUCAUUUAUAUGCUCUUGC